UGGCGGUGUCCCACCCAUACUAGAGGAGCCUGUCCUAUAAUCGACACCCCACGCUAUACCUUACCCCCCCUAGCCACCCAGCCUAUAUACCGCCGUCGCCAGCUCACACUGUGAAUGCACCACCGUAAGCUAAAUCAUCAACCAUUGAAACGACAGGUCAAGGUGUAGCUCAUGGGGGGGCCAGUGAUGGGCUACAUUUUCUUCACUAGAAAAUACCACCCGCACCGUGAAAUCUCUGCCCACAGGUGGAUUUAGAAGUAAGCCCUGACAAGAUAUGUCAACCUGAACAAGCCCUGGGACGA
RNAcentral lists this ribosomal RNA (302 nucleotides) under Pristurus rupestris rupestris. RNAcentral describes it as "partial 12S ribosomal RNA". Lineage: Eukaryota; Metazoa; Chordata; Lepidosauria; Squamata; Sphaerodactylidae. The record is from RNAcentral.